AUUUUCUUCGGAACUGAAGAUUUGGUGAUUGAGUGGCGAACGGGUGAGUAACGCGUGAGUAACCUGCCCUAGAGUGGGGGACAACAGUUGGAAACGACUGCUAAUACCGCAUAAGACCACAGCACCGCAUGGUGCAGGGGUAAAAACUCCGGUGGUACAGGAUGGACCCGCGUCUGAUUAGCUGGUUGGUGAGGUAACGGCCCACCAAGGCGACGAUCAGUAGCCGACUUGAGAGAGUGAUCGGCCACAUUGGGACUGAGACACGGCCCAAACUCC
This 276-nucleotide ribosomal RNA is filed under the name uncultured Lachnospiraceae bacterium. RNAcentral's name for it is "partial 16S ribosomal RNA". It matches the Rfam family "Bacterial small subunit ribosomal RNA", at positions 69 to 339 of the family's 1533-position model. The record is from RNAcentral. Lineage: Bacteria; Bacillati; Bacillota; Clostridia; Lachnospirales; Lachnospiraceae.